RNAcentral lists this small nucleolar RNA (138 nucleotides) under Ornithorhynchus anatinus (platypus). The record is from RNAcentral. Lineage: Eukaryota; Metazoa; Chordata; Mammalia; Monotremata; Ornithorhynchidae.
AGCCUCUCAGUGUCGCACCUGGAGAGUUUCCAGUACUCUCCCAGUCUCGACUAUGGGAGGGAGAGUCAAGCAGAGGCCUACCCAUUCCAUUCCUAGCUUGGCCAGUAGAUAGAAAGUGGAAAGCAAUCUGCUACAAGU